GACGAACGCUGGCGGCGUGCUUAACACAUGCAAGUCGAACGGAAAGGCCCUUCGGGGUACUCGAGUGGCGAACGGGUGAGUAACACGUGGGUGAUCUGCCCUGCACUUUGGGAUAAGCCUGGGAAACUGGGUCUAAUACCGAAUAGGACCACGCGCUUCAUGGUGUGUGGUGGAAAGCUUUUGCGGUGUGGGAUGGGCCCGCGGCCUAUCAGCUUGUUGGUGGGGUAAUGGCCUACCAAGGCGACGACGGGUAGCUGGCCUGAGAGGGUGACCGGCCACACUGGGACUGAGAUACGGCCCAGACUCCUACGGGAGGCAGCAGUGGGGAAUAUUGCACAAUGGGCGCAAGCCUGAUGCAGCGACGCCGCGUGAGGGAUGACGGCCUUCGGGUUGUAAACCUCUUUCAAUAGGGACGAAGCGCAAGUGACGGUACCUAUAGAAGAAGCACCGGCCAACUACGUG
RNAcentral lists this ribosomal RNA (462 nucleotides) under uncultured bacterium. RNAcentral's name for it is "partial 16S ribosomal RNA". It matches the Rfam family "Bacterial small subunit ribosomal RNA", at positions 28 to 507 of the family's 1533-position model. The record is from RNAcentral.